This 425-nucleotide ribosomal RNA is filed under the name Leptodactylus mystaceus group sp. ABGD cluster 49. RNAcentral describes it as "partial large subunit ribosomal RNA". It matches the Rfam family "Bacterial large subunit ribosomal RNA", at positions 1822 to 2457 of the family's 2925-position model. The record is from RNAcentral. Lineage: Eukaryota; Metazoa; Chordata; Amphibia; Anura; Leptodactylidae.
CUUGAUAAACUUAUAGGAGGUCCAGCCUGCCCAGUGACUCUGUUCAACGGCCGCGGUAUCCUAACCGUGCGAAGGUAGCGUAAUCACUUGUUCUUUAAAUGAGGACUAGUAUGAAUGGCACCACGAAGGUUAUACUGUCUCCUUUUUCUAAUCAGUGAAACUAAUCUUCCCGUGAAGAAACGGGAAUAAAAAUAUAAGACGAGAAGACCCUAUGGAGCUUUAAACAAAUAUACACCUGCCUCUUCACCAAAAAUUUCAGAAGACAAGCAAUCACCCAGGCAUUUUGAUAUAGCGUUUUAGGUUGGGGUGACCGCGGAGCAAAAAACAACCCCCGCAACGAACGGGAAUAUUCCCUAAACCAAGGGCCACAACCCCAAGUAUUGAUAAAUCAACACUAAUUGACCCAAUAAAUUUGAUCAAUGAAC